RNAcentral lists this ribosomal RNA (377 nucleotides) under uncultured bacterium. RNAcentral describes it as "partial 16S ribosomal RNA". It matches the Rfam family "Bacterial small subunit ribosomal RNA", at positions 338 to 732 of the family's 1533-position model. The record is from RNAcentral.
CCUACGGGAGGCAGCAGUGGGGAAUAUUGCACAAUGGGGGAAACCCUGAUGCAGCGACGCCGCGUGAGGGAAGAAGGAUUUCGGUAUGUAAAGCCCUAUCAGCAGGGAAGAAAAUGACGGUACCUGACUAAGAAGCCCCGGCUAACUACGUGCCAGAAGCCGCGGUAAUACGUAGGGGGCAAGCGUGAUCCGGAAUUACUGGGUGUAAAGGGAGCGUAGACGGCAGCGCAAGUCUGGAGUGAAAUCCCAUGGCUUAACCAUGGAACUGCUUUGGAAACUGUGCAGCUAGAGUGCAGGAGAGGUAAGCGGAAUUCCUGGUGUAGCGGUGAAAUGCGUAGAUAUUAGGAGGAACACCAGUUGCGAAGGCGGCUUACUGG